UGAGGCAGGAGAAUUGCUUGAACCCAGGAAGCGGAGGUUGCAGUGAGCCGAGAUUGUGCCACUGCACUCCAGCCUGGGUGACAGAGCGAGACUCCA
RNAcentral lists this microRNA precursor (96 nucleotides) under Gorilla gorilla gorilla (western lowland gorilla). RNAcentral describes it as "miRNA (ENSGGOG00000036495.1)". The record is from RNAcentral. Lineage: Eukaryota; Metazoa; Chordata; Mammalia; Primates; Hominidae.